AUUGAACGCUGGCGGUAUGCCUUACACAUGCAAGUCGAACGGUAACGGACUUACAGCUUCCGACGAGGGGCGGCGGGGUGAGUACUACUGCGGAAUGUGUCCGAACCUGCGGGUUCAUGGGGGGUAACGUUUGGAAACUUACCCUAAUACCUCAUGCGGCAUGCAGGUGAAAGCAAGGCAUCUUCCGGCCUGGGGCGCUUGAGGGAGCCGAUGCCGUAUUUGCUAGUUGGCGGGGUAAAGGCUCACCAAGGCGACGAUCCGUAGAUGGUCUGAGAGGAUGAUCAGCCACACUGGGACUGAGACACGGUCCAGACUCCUACGGGAGGCAGCAGUGGGGAAUAUUGGACAAUGGGCGCAAGCCUGAUCCAGCCAUGCCGCGUGGAUGAUGAAGGCCUUCGGGUUGUAAACUGCUUUUGUUGGGAACGAAAAGCCUUCGGUUAAUACAGGGGUGUCAUGACGGUACCGUAAGAAUAAGCACCGGCUAACUACGUG
RNAcentral lists this ribosomal RNA (492 nucleotides) under uncultured bacterium. RNAcentral's name for it is "partial 16S ribosomal RNA". It matches the Rfam family "Bacterial small subunit ribosomal RNA", at positions 30 to 507 of the family's 1533-position model. The record is from RNAcentral.